This 465-nucleotide ribosomal RNA is filed under the name uncultured bacterium. Its description in RNAcentral is "partial 16S ribosomal RNA". It matches the Rfam family "Bacterial small subunit ribosomal RNA", at positions 28 to 507 of the family's 1533-position model. The record is from RNAcentral.
GACGAACGCUGGCGGCGUGCUUAACACAUGCAAGUCGAACGGAAAGGCCCUGCUUGCAGGGUACUCGAGUGGCGAACGGGUGAGUAACACGUGGGUGAUCUGCCCUGCACUUCGGGAUAAGCCUGGGAAACUGGGUCUAAUACCGGAUAGGAGCCAUUUUUAGUGUGAUGGUUGGAAAGUUUUUUCGGUGUAGGAUGAGCUCGCGGCCUAUCAGCUUGUUGGUGGGGUAAUGGCCUACCAAGGCGGCGACGGGUAGCCGGCCUGAGAGGGUGGACGGCCACAUUGGGACUGAGAAACGGCCCAGACGCCUACGGGAGGCAGAAGUGGGGAAUAUUGCACAAUGGGCGCAAGCCUGAUGCAGCGACGCCGCGUGGGGGAUGACGGCCUUCGGGUUGGAAACUCCGUUCGCUAGGGACGAAGCUUUUUGUGACGGUACCUAGAGAAGAAGCACCGGCUAACUACGUG